RNAcentral lists this ribosomal RNA (322 nucleotides) under uncultured eukaryote. Its description in RNAcentral is "partial 18S ribosomal RNA". It matches the Rfam family "Eukaryotic small subunit ribosomal RNA", at positions 1470 to 1796 of the family's 1831-position model. The record is from RNAcentral.
CCCUUAGAUGUUCUGGGCCGCACGCGUGCUACACUGAGUAAUUCAAUGGGUAAGGGAACGCUAGAGCAUUACCUAAUCUUGAAAUUUGCUCGUGAUGGGGAUCGACGGUUGCAAUUUUCCGUCGUGAACGAGGAAUACCUUGUAGGCGCAUGUCAUCAUCAUGCGCCGAAUACGUCCCUGCCCUUUGUACACACCGCCCGUCGCUCCUACCGAUUGAGUGAUCCGGUGAGGCUCUGGGACCUGGACGGAAAGAGCGGUUCGCUUGUUCUGUUUGGGAAACUUGGUCGAACCUUAUCAUUUAGAGGAAGGAGAAGUCGUAACA